UGGAGAAGGGGAGCACGUGCAACUGCAAAGUGGUAUAUUACGUUUGCACGUGCCCUGCUUCUCCAAC
Molecule: microRNA precursor, 67 nt
Organism: Beta vulgaris subsp. vulgaris (sugar beet)
Lineage: Eukaryota; Viridiplantae; Streptophyta; Magnoliopsida; Caryophyllales; Amaranthaceae
Rfam family: MIR164 microRNA precursor family
Source: Rfam